RNAcentral lists this ribosomal RNA (522 nucleotides) under uncultured bacterium. Its description in RNAcentral is "bacterial SSU rRNA". It matches the Rfam family "Bacterial small subunit ribosomal RNA", at positions 8 to 524 of the family's 1533-position model. The record is from RNAcentral.
AGAGUUUGAUCCUGGCUCAGAUUGAACGCUGGCGGCAUGCCUUACACAUGCAAGUCGAACGGCAGCACGGGUGCUUGCACCUGGUGGCGAGUGGCGAACGGGUGAGUAAUACAUCGGAACGUACCUUAUCGUGGGGGAUAACGCAGCGAAAGCUGUGCUAAUACCGCAUACGCCCUGAGGGGGAAAGCGGGGGAUCGCAAGACCUCGCGCGAUUAGAGCGGCCGAUGCCUGAUUAGCUAGUUGGUGGGGUAAAAGCCCACCAAGGCGACGAUCAGUAGCUGGUCUGAGAGGACGAUCAGCCACACUGGGACUGAGACACGGCCCAGACUCCUACGGGAGGCAGCAGUGGGGAAUUUUGGACAAUGGGGGCAACCCUGAUCCAGCAAUGCCGCGUGAGUGAAGAAGGCCUUCGGGUUGUAAAGCUCUUUUGUCAGGGAAGAAACACCGGCUCUAACACAGUUCGGGAAUGACGGUACCUGAAGAAUAAGCACCGGCUAACUACGUACCAGCAGCCGCGGUAAU